UAAGGCACCCAGGACUUGGCGA
This 22-nucleotide microRNA is filed under the name Pristionchus pacificus. RNAcentral's name for it is "ppc-miR-8249-3p". Lineage: Eukaryota; Metazoa; Nematoda; Chromadorea; Rhabditida; Neodiplogasteridae. The record is from miRBase by way of RNAcentral.